CCGGAAGUGCAGCUGCAGGAAUGACUCCCUCCGCCGGCGCCAAACACUAACAACCACCCCCUCUUCCCCACUCCACUUCCGCCACCGCCGCGCCGCCGCCGCCACUCCGGUUCGCGUCUUCGGCUGCGCUGCACCGCACUGCCCGCUCCGCUCCGCUCCGCACCGCACCCGGGGCCGGGCGGCGGCCGGCAGCAAGGCGGCGGCGGCUCUCCUCUGCGCCUUUCUCCUCAGGGCGGCUGUGGAUGUUGCCUUUUAGUGUCGAUCCUGCGGAGCGGCGUUUUCGCUGCGGCACGGGCGGGCCGGGUCUUCCCGGUCUUUAUUUUCCUGGAAACCGACCGGAGCGGGGCCCGAGUUCGGUGGUGGUAGCGUGCGUGGGGGGCGCUCAGGCCCGGACCGUCUCGCAGCCCGCGCACGCCGCCCCAACUGUUCGUCUUUAGCUCUCGGGAGCCGAGCUCGGGGCGGCCGCGUAGAGGACGCCCGCGAUCCGACGGCGACCGAGCAUUUUUUAAAUGGUGUCCCUGCAGCCGGGUGGAUGGAUGUAUCGUAUUGUACACCUUUCUCUCCUUUUGAGAGGCCAGACUUUACGCCAGUCUCUGCAUUAUUUCUGAGGAGUGAGAACGCAACGCGUGGAGGAGACGAAGAUUCUCAGCUGGAUUGAAAUGGAACCAUGUUUGUGAUGCAUAUAUUUCUGGAAAUAUGUGGUCUUUUCUGGUCUUGCAUUUUGUUGCCUGUGGUUUUGGCUCUUGCCUAGCAGUCGGGAGAAGGGCCUAUAGGCGACGCUGUUCGAGCGAGGAGCCAGUCCGCGCCCCCCUCUAGUUGUGGGUGGAGCCGAGCACGCGGGGAGAGCCGGCGGAGUGCGGGCCGCGGGGGGGCCUGGGGCCAGACGAUUUCAGACUUCGUUUUCCUUUACGUUCGAAACAGUGAGGUACUGGCCAAGGCUGGAGUACAAAUGUGAUUGUGUGUACAGUUCCAAGCCUCCUGUAGUCUCUGACUGAAACACGUGAAAUAACUUUACCGUACAGGUCACUAUUAAGUUUACUUCUGUACAUUAAAAGGGGGCUAUUCUUCAGGUAAAAAGUGCAUAGGUGGUGAAACUUAGGUGGAUCAGAACAAAGCAAAGCUUAUUAACCAUUAAGCAGAAGCAAUUCAAGUAGAAAUAUAAAAGUGGAAAUGUCUCAGUAUUAUAACCUAAGAUGGAAAACCAAAGAAAAUAGUACCUAGGGCCAUGAUGAAUUACUCACUAGAUGUAACAGUAAACCAUUUCUUAAUAAUUCCAUUUUUAUUGAAAGCUGAAAUUAGUCUCUAAUAGGCACAUUAUAAAAUGAUCAAGUUGGCAGAAAUAGAUUGAUCUUACAUUAAAAUUGUAUGUACUUUGAUAAUCUAAAAAACAAAGGAUAAAUUUUAAUAAAGAAUGAUUACAGUGAAUUAAUAUGAGGUGAUUUUUCACUUUAAAAAUAAAAAAUAGAAUUGUUUCCAUUACCCUUUAUAAACAAAACAAAAAGUAAUACCUUGAUUUGUGACAUGUUUGGAGGAAUAUAGUAGCUAAAUGACAGUUGUACUGUCAGCUUAUUUAAUAUAUUCUAAGUACCUCAAAAUCUCCGAUAGAAUGAUUAUUCGAAGUAAAAUUGUAAGAGCUGGGUGUUAGCUAACUGUAUUAAAAUUAAAAAAUUUAAAGGCCCAAACAAUUUUAGUUUAAUAAACUAAAUAAUGGUAGUCUAGCCGCUUACUCAUUGUAAGGUUUGUGGAAACAUACUGUCCAAAGCAUAGAAGGACAAUGGACUCAGGGAGAUUUUAGCUAUAGGUAUAUUUACUUAUGUGUUUGUUCAUUCUAAAAAUAUACUUCUUGAACACAUACUAUCUCCACAGGACAUGGAGCAUGUAUUCAUUCUUACAUCUUGUUGAAAGAUUUAAUUUCAUUAAUAUUAUGUUAAUAGUCAUAGAAAUUCAAUAUGCAGCCCAUUGAAUCCAAGGAGAUGACACUUAGAAGCAAAUCAUUUAAUAUUGAGUACUAGAAGGUAGACUGUAAACCUCUGUAAGUUAGUUCUUUUAUAAUACUACAUUAUACUGACAUUAUAUAUUGUCAUCUGGUGUCAAAUCAGUUAAUCACAGCAAUAAUAUCCAAUAAGUAAAAUUCAUCUAACAGCAGCUGUAGAGACAUUUUAGUGCCAAAAAAGAAUUCAACCAGUAUUACUACGAAUUAUGUGCUUCUUUUACACAUAAGUUGCUAUAAAUAUGGGCUAUUAGAAUUGCAUAAACUGACUUCCCUGGUGGAGCAGUGGUUAAGAAUCCAACUGCCAAUGCAGGGGAUACGGGUUCUAUCCCUGGUCUGGGAAGAUCACACAUGCUGCGGAGCAACUAAGCCCGUGAGCCACAACUAGUGAAGCCCGUGCUCCGCAACAAGAGAAGCCACUGCAAUGAGAAGCCCGCGCACUGCAAUGAAGAGUAGCCCCCACUCGCCACAACUAGAGAAAGCCUGCACGCAGCAAUGAAGACCCAACACAGCCAAAAAUAAAUUAAUUAAUUUUUAAAAAGUGCAUAAACAGCCUGACCUUUUAAUUAUAUUUUAAAUUUUGUUAGUGUUUUCACCCAUGGAAAAUGCUAUACUGAUCUUUUAAAAAUUUCAUUAAUAAAGUGGCAAUAGCUUUGCCAUGAACCAUUUUUUUAUUGAUAAGCAUAAUAAUGGGUUAAUUCAUCAAAAUUCAAUAGAAACUAUUAACUUUGUCACCAAAGUCAACAUUUCAGAGUCUAAAAUACGUAGUAUGUUUUUCUGCUUUAUCUAGUUUUUAUUUAACAUCUAAAGCUCUGUAAAGAUAAAACCAGAGGAAGGAAAGAAAAUAGCUCAUACCUUAUCUUAUUCCAGAGUAGGGAAUGGUGACAGAUUAAGAAAAGCACCCAAACAGUGACUUCCAGUGAACAAAAUGAGGUCUGAGUAAAGAAUUUUGCUUUCCCUAAAAAAAAUUAAAUACAACAUUUUAGUCAGGAAUUUAUACCCACACAUGAAUACUGUUUUUAACACUGCACUUGAGACAUUUAAAAUAUUUUAUUUUCUCUUUGAAAAAACAACACCAAAAUCCAAAUUGCUUUAGUAGUCAUGUUUCUAGUUUAUCAUCUUCUUUUGGUCUUACACUGUUGAAUUCUGCAUCUCUUCUAAAGCACCUCUCUGGUGUAGCCUUCUCGCUAUUGCCUUCUUCCUAAUUCAGUCAUCAACAUUCAUUAGCUUUCUCCAAUAUAUUCAGCUGAUCUCUCAAGAUCAUAUCCAGACAAACUAUGUAACUUUUGCUUUAUGUAAGGAGAAAUAGCUUAUUAUGAAUUUAGAAGAGCUAUAGUAGUACUUGACAAUACUUUAUAUAUGCAAAUGUAUUUUUAAUUUGAAGAACUUACUGCACAUCUUGUAGGCGUUAUGUAAAAAAUUUUAAUGUCUAUUUUGUUUUAGUUUAGAAUUAAUAAUGAUUUAAUGUUUAAUCUUGUGUUUACAUUAAAUAUUUUGGGCUUAAUUCUCCCUAUAAUAUUCCUGUAAAAACAUCAUGGUUGUGAAAUCUCGGUUUAAGAAAUGCUCAUCGGAAAACUGGUUUGAAAUUAUUUUGAUUACAAUGUAACUAUUAUAUUCAGUAUGGCAAGAGUUAAGUGUGACCUCUGAAUAAAUGUGCUUUUAAUUCUGA
This is a long non-coding RNA of Orcinus orca (killer whale), 3659 nucleotides long. RefSeq lists it as uncharacterized. The transcript has 2 exons. The record is from RefSeq and is a predicted model, not a curated record. NCBI's taxonomy places the organism in Eukaryota, Metazoa, Chordata, Mammalia, Artiodactyla, Delphinidae.